UGAAAUCUGUUGGGUGAAUUGAAGAGCUACUAUUUCUUUGGAGUAUGUAGGAAUGUUAGAUUUAUGUCUUCAAGAAAGAAGAAAGACAAGGAACUAUUGAAAUCUGUUGGGUGAAUUGAAGCGCUACUAUUUCUUUGGAGGUUGUAGGAAGCUAGCUUUAUGUUCUCAACAAAUCUGAAAGAUUUUGGAAAUGGUAGAGUUUUCAAGUAUUUGGCGAGGGACAUUGGUACUGGAGAGUUUAACAAGUACAUUUUUGUGUGAUAUUGGUAUGUGACUUCCUAAUGACUUGUGAUGAUUUGUUUUAAAACUUUAAGAAACCUUCGAACUUACUGGUUAGAAAAGUUUUGUGGUGUUCCAUUGAAGAGAUGAAUUAAUCGGAAUUUCCCGAUGAGAAGCCAUCAAUAGAACAAAGAGGAAACGGAUGGUGUGUAUGUGGAUAAAAAUAGAGCCUGGAUUUCUGAGCUCUUUUGUUAGAGAACAAUAUAAAAGUUAUAACCAAUGGACACAAUUGGUGGCAAAGUAAUCAACAUAACUAUUUCUUUACGACUAUAUAUAAUGGCUUGUUGCUCAUUGAUUAUCGAUUAGAUGGUCCUAUAAGGACUUUUAGAACCUUUAUUGAAUACUUAAGUAAGAUAAUAUUACAUAAGUAACAUCAAAAACAAAACUAAUAAGUCAGAUUUUUCUAUGUUUUGUAAUAAAUAACUAAGUAACAGAAAAAAACACACAUUUAUUCCUUUGGAAAUAUUCUUAUUGUAUGCAACUAUCAAAUGCAUGCUAUGUGUUUAACCGUCAGAUAUUAUUUAAAGAAUAAUUGUUACUGACUUAGAAUAAUAAUAAUGGAAAUAAUUGACAAAUUAUUGCAUGGAAUUCUUAUGAGCUGCAUUGCUAAUUACUUGUUGUUUUAAUUCAUCAGUAUUAAAAUCAACUGUGUUUUGAUUCGUGUCUUAUUGUUCAUGGCAAUCACCUCAUCAAUUUAAAACAAAUCCUGUUUUCUGAACAUUCAUUAUGGAUUGUUUAUUAUCCUUUAAUGAUUAGCAUGAAAAGAUUCGAAAUCUAAAAAAAAAACUAAGACAUCAUUUUAAAUUAUAAUUGAACUAUUAGAAGAUACUAGAAAACGAAUGCCUUGCCAAAGGCCCAGGCAUUUAUUUAAACUGAUAUUAAGUAUUUUUUCAUAGCGAACUAUAAAGAGGUACCUUAGCCUAUUCAGUCUAGAUUUAGAUACCAGUAACACUUUUGAAGAUUUUUAAAAUGGAGGGGAAUCUAUCCAGAGCUAGUCUUGUGGUGUAUCAGGUGUACAAAACACCUCCAAUGCUAUCACUUUUAAAAGGUUGUUUAUUUUAAUUUAUUUCUGCAUUUAUUAGCAUCACUAAAUUCACUUUGAGGAUCUUCCACCAGUAGCUUCCAAUUUUCACUAUUUAGUUGCCUUCAGUGAUCUUCAAUUAAGCAUCUUGAACAUUUUAUUGUCGUACUUGCUUCGGUUUAUCGAACACUGCAUUCUUCCUCUUUUUUUUUUUUUUUUU
Biomphalaria pfeifferi is the source of this 1520-nucleotide non-coding RNA. NCBI's taxonomy places the organism in Eukaryota, Metazoa, Mollusca, Gastropoda, Planorbidae. The record is from the annotation of a GenBank genome assembly.